UCCCCGUUAUCCUGGGCAGUCCUUCCAGAGUUCCCGGCAUGACCCGUUGGCAACUGGAAGCAGGGGUUGCGCUCGUUGCGCCACUUAAGGCAACACCUCACGGCACGAGCUGACGACAGCCAUGCACCACCUGUGCAGGCUCCGUAGAGCACCCGCUUUCACGGGUUUCACCCUGCAUGUCAAGCCCAGGUAAGGUUCUUCGCGUCGCAUCGAAUUAAGCCGCAUGCUCCGCCGCUUGUGCGGACCCCCGUCAAUUCCUUUGAGUUUUAGCCUUGCGGCCGUACUCCCCAGGCGGGGCACUUAAUGCGUUAGCUACGGUACUGAGAGAUCGCUUCCCCAACACCCAGUUGCCAUCGUUUAGGGCGUGGACUAC
Molecule: unclassified non-coding RNA, 373 nt
Filed under: uncultured Actinomycetes bacterium
Lineage: Bacteria; Bacillati; Actinomycetota; Actinomycetes
Description: uncultured actinobacterium contains 16S-23S intergenic spacer region
Source: RNAcentral